UUCUUACAAAAUCCCAACGUU
This 21-nucleotide non-coding RNA is filed under the name Caenorhabditis elegans. The record is from RNAcentral. Lineage: Eukaryota; Metazoa; Nematoda; Chromadorea; Rhabditida; Rhabditidae.